CCUAGGGGGGCUGCAGUGGGGAAUAUUGGACAAUGGGCGAAAGCCUGAUCCAGCCAUGCCGCGUGUGUGAAGAAGGCCUUCGGGUUGUAAAGCACUUUCAGUGGGGAAGAAAGCCUUGGGGCUAAUACCCUCGAGGAAGGACAUCACCCACAGAAGAAGCACCGACUAACUCCGUGCCAGCAGCCGCGGUAAUACGGAGGGUGCGAGCGUUAAUCGGAAUUACUGGGCGUAAAGCGCGCGUAGGCGGUCUGAUAAGCCGGUUGUGAAAGCCCCGGGCUCAACCUGGGAACGGCAUCCGGAACUGUCAGGCUAGAGUGCAGGAGAGGAAGGUAGAAUUCCCGGUGUAGCGGUGAAAUGCGUAGAGAUCGGGAGGAAUACCAGUGGCGAAGGCGGCCUUCUGGACUGACACUGACGCUGAGGUGCGAAAGCGUGGGUAGCAAACAGGAUUAGAUACCCCAGUAGUC
This 464-nucleotide ribosomal RNA is filed under the name Vreelandella stevensii. RNAcentral describes it as "partial 16S ribosomal RNA". It matches the Rfam family "Bacterial small subunit ribosomal RNA", at positions 338 to 795 of the family's 1533-position model. Lineage: Bacteria; Pseudomonadati; Pseudomonadota; Gammaproteobacteria; Oceanospirillales; Halomonadaceae. The record is from RNAcentral.